CAAUAGCGUAUAUUAACGUUGUUGCAGUUAAAAAGCUCGUAGUUGGAUUUCUGGAGGGAGCGUCGGCCCGUAUUUACGAGUGCGUGACGUCUCUGUCCAUCCUUGCGGGAAGGCUCGGCAUUGAUUUGUUGUGUCGGAUCGCAUCAUUUACUGUGAAAAAAUUAGAGUGUUCAAAGCAGGCUUUCGCUUGAAUACAUUAGCAUGGAAUAAUAAGAUAGGACUUUGGUGCUAUUUUGUUGGUUGAGCCUAAAGUAAUGAUUAAUAGGGAUAGUUGGGGGCACCUGUAUUGCGUUGUCAGAGGUGAAAUUCUUGGAUUUACGCAAGACAAACAGCUGCGAAAGCGUCUGCCAAGGAUGUUUUCAUUAA
RNAcentral lists this ribosomal RNA (366 nucleotides) under uncultured eukaryote. Its description in RNAcentral is "partial 18S ribosomal RNA". It matches the Rfam family "Eukaryotic small subunit ribosomal RNA", at positions 592 to 976 of the family's 1831-position model. The record is from RNAcentral.